RNAcentral lists this ribosomal RNA (218 nucleotides) under uncultured bacterium. Its description in RNAcentral is "partial 16S ribosomal RNA". It matches the Rfam family "Bacterial small subunit ribosomal RNA", at positions 524 to 737 of the family's 1533-position model. The record is from RNAcentral.
UACGAAGGGGGGCUAGCGUUGCUCGGAAUCACUGGGCGUAAAGGGUGCGUAGGCGGGUCUUUAAGUCAGGGGGUGAAAUCCUGGAGCUCAACUCCAGAACUGCCUUUGAUACUGAAGAUCUUUGAGUUCGGGAGAGGUGAGUGGAACUGCGAGUGAGAGGUGAAAUUCGUAGAUAUUCGCAAGAACACCAGUGGCUGAAGGCGGCAUCACUGGCCCGA